UAAUUUAAUAAACAUGAUAUUUUCAACUAGGGCGACUAGGCUACAUUGGCUACAUGUAUUUCCUCUGUCUUUCUUUUAAUUCCCAUCCAAGGACCCUCUUCUUGUUUUCAUAAUUUGGAUGUUAGUUUUGUGACACAUUAACACCCCCUCCCUCCCAUAGAUGCUUAUAAUUCUUUUCAUGACUCUAUCCCACUUCCCUCCACUGCCUGUUUGAUAGUUUGUGACACUAAACGCUUAAGUGUAUACCUCUCCUCACUGCCAGCUCAUCUGGAGUGAUCACAUGCAGUGGGCAUGGUCUAUGGCUUCAAAUUAGCAGCCCGCACUUUUUCUUUCAUUCAUAAAUUAUAUAUUAUAGAUAUCUCGAUCCAGGUCAUGCUUAUUCAUUGAAAAAAUCAUAGAUUUAUUCAUCCCAAUAAUAUUUCUUAUUACGAUUUUGCUGUGUCCAAUGAAGGAGAAUGAGCUGAAUUCAUUAUUAUUCGUUGUACACCCCCUUAUUAAAUUAUAUUUAACAGCUAACGGUAUAAAUGUGAUUGGAGUGUCUUUCUAAAGAUGUUUGGAAGCUUAUUUUGAUAUAUCCAUCAGCCUACGAUCAAACAGGCUCAUAAUAUAGCCUUCAUCCCUUAUAUGGGUAUGAAUUGCCGGGGGAGGUUAAAACAACAGCUUUACAUACAUGGUUACCGAGAAUCUAAAAAACUGCCAUCUGCUUUGGAAAAACGGAACAAAAUUACCGGAACUUAUCUAAAAUUGGACAUGCGCAAUCCCGAAGCGUUGAUUUUUGCUCCAAACAUAAAAACAAAUGAAUUACAAACAAAAAAAGCGACCCGCUCAUUGAAGGAGAAUUCGAUGGGGUGUCCAAAAUAUAAGAAGCUACUAUAUAUAUCUAAUCUAGAUUCUAUUAUCAAAUUCAAAAUAACCUAUUCAUUCUAUACAACACACUUUGAAGAGAUUUUUUUCACAGAUAAUUUAGUAUAUAACUGAAAUAUUGUAUAUUUCAUUUUUUUUUACCAUUGCCCUAUUUCAAGAUGAGUUGGUUUAACUGGUAAAGUCAGAACAUUAACAGAAGGACAUUUCUUUUUGAUUAUUGAUAAAGCAGCUGUUUUCACAACCAUGAAUUCUGAUAUUCAGUCUGUUGCAUAUGAAGAUUUUUUACAAGAUAUCAAAUGCAAUGUAAAAAAUAUAAAUUCCCCUAAAAGGAAAAUUUCUAAAAAUGGAAACAUUCUGGAUUCCAUCCCCAAAAUAAACAACAACAAAAAUGAUUUGUCAAAAUCUCAUCCAGAAGUGCUUGAGCUUCAGAGUACUAACACAUUUAAUAAGGACAAGGUUGGAACAUCAAUGUCCUACACUGAGUUUCUAAGUCUUUUCAAACCACCACCCUCAGCAAGGAAUGUAGUAGCUCAUGAUGAGGAGACUCCCUCAGACAGUUGUAUGGGAUCUUCCAACAAAGUUGUCAAAUGCAGGUCUAUAACAUCUUAUUUUAGUCAAGCUGAGGGAAAAGUCAAUAAAGGUGGUGUCACUUCUUCAGACACUAAUAAAAUGACUGUGACGGCCCAAGUCCACAAUUCAAAACUGUUAUCCGUGGCUCAGGGAUCUACUGCAACUUCGUUCAAAUCACGAAAUGUGCAGAACUAUUUAGAUGUCAGUAAAGAAGCAGAUAGUAUUGUGUUACUGAGUACAGAAACUCUGGAAGACAGUGGAGAUUUUGUUAAAAGCAAGAAACUUUCAACCAUGAAAAGAAAAAAUGUUGAUCUCCAAGUCCAGGAGACUAAGUUGAAAAAGCCCAAAUUUGACAUUUUGACAGAAAAGAACAAUACAAUUAAAGAUGCUGUUCAUUUGAAUACAAAUCUUGAUGACUCUGACUCUUCGGAACCAUCUCAUGGUUUCAAUUGCUCGCAAUCAACUCUUUGUUUUGGCAAAAAUGGGAUUUCACUGCUGAAAGCAGAUAAAAGUGGAGCCAAAGAACAAGCACAAAAACAAAAGUUUGUAGCUGAUGUAAAAAAUGGAAAGAAUUUAAUUUUUUCUAACGAUGUUAAAAGUACAGAAGCUGAUGUUGUUACUACUGAUGCUGUCUUAGUAAUGUGCAACAAGAAAAGACCUUCGCAGAAGACCACACUAACACAUUCACUAGCAGAGAACAUCUUGACUGCACAUUCAGUAGAUGAUGAGGAAGUGAAGGUUGUAUCAGUUGAGACACCAACUUUGCGGAGAAGUUCCAGAAUCAGACAAACUCCUAAAAUUUUAGACAAUUCAGUGAUUGAAGUGGAUCUGGAGAGUGAUGAUGAGGCUCCCAGAAAUAUAAAGAAAAAAAAAUCUCAUUUACCAAGCAACAAUACAGAUGUGAAACUAGCAGGAAAACUUGCCCCAAUAUUUACUCAGGUCAAGUCAAAAGUUGUUGAGGUCAAGAAAGGUCAACCUGCUGUGGAUCCUGAAACAUUACGAUUGAGAAGAGAGUUUUUGAUGAGCGGCAUUCCUGAUGAACUAAAGAGGCAGAUAAAUACUGCAGCUAGUGCUGUAGUGGUCUCUGAUUACCCCCCUAUUCCAAAAAUCAGCCAUAUCCAACAGCUAAAGACAAUCCCAAGCAAAGCAAUGACCACCAAACAUCUUUCUUUUAAAAAAAAUGAUUUUCAGCCUAUUGAUGACAACUGUUUAUUGAAAAGUUUUACCUGGGAGAAAAUAGACACAAUUGACAACCCAAUAGUUCCAAAAUUGUUUGAGAACUAUUGUUCCCAUCCAGUUAUAUCUGAAAUUCAUGUUAGAAAGUUACUGUCUAAGUAUCAAACAUUGGAAAACAGUAUGUGUUAUGAAAAAUUGUAUAGGCACUGGCAAUCAAAGUUGCUUGCAACAGCACAAGAUCAAGAGCCGUCUAAAAAGUUGCAUGAAGCCGAGGAAAUAAUUGUUGUAGAUGACACGCCACCACGUUCUACUAAGUCUGACAAUAAACAAAUUCUUGAUGUCAAAGAUUGUUUAUGGACAGAUUUCCACCAACCAGAUUGUACUGACCAUAUUGUUGGCAAUAGUGGUCUAAUUAAACAAUUGAAAUCUUGGCUUGAGAAAUGGAAAUCUUUGUUACAGAAAGAAGAUAAAAAUGUUUCAUCAAAACCUGUCAUGAAAAGUAAAAAAACUAGCUCCUGGUCAGAUGACAGUGAUUUCACUGACAGUGAUGAGGAGGAGAACAAGCUGUGUAACACUAUGUUAAUCACUGGGCCUCAUGGAACUGGGAAAACAUCUUCAGUCUAUGCAUUGGCACAUGAGUUAGGCUUUAAGGUGUUUGAAGUGAAUUCCUCCUCUCUAAGAAGUGGUAAACAGCUGCUUUCUCAACUUGAAGAAGCAACUCAGUCUCACAAAGUAGCUCAGAAGAAAACAGAAACUGCAGUGUCAGAAGAAACCAUAGUUAGAGAUACUGUCCCACAGAAAGAACCCAGUAAAGACAAGCUCAAAACUAAACCAAAAUCAACUUCAAAACCUCAUGCAGCAUCCGUUGCCAACUUCUUCAAAAGCAACAUUCCCUCUCAAAUGGCAAAUGAUAAACUGAACAAACACAAAAACAAUGUUAAGGAUGAAAAGAAGCAGAUGAAGAAUAAGGAAACAAAGUGUUCAGAUAGAGAGAAGUCUGCCUCUAGUCCUGUGGAAGAAAUCUGUGAACAGAAUCCCACUUCAGGUCAUGUUAACCUUUCCACAGUUUCACUGAUUUUAUUUGAUGAGGUUGAUGUUGUGUUUGAAGAUGAUAAAGGUUUCCUUGCCACAGUACAAUAUUUUAUGAUGUCAACCAAGAUACCAAUUAUCAUGACAUGUACCAGUUCACACUUUCACAACCAACUCUCAGCAAAGUUUGACAGUAUCUUUUUCAAAAAACCAUCAAGAUCCAGUAUUGCUAGAUAUUUAAGCACAGUCUGCCUGUCACAUGGCAUCAAUGUGGACACUUCGUCUCUCUCCUCACUUGUGGAUCACCUCAAGGGAGACAUCAGAAAAUGUUUGCUGUCCCUUCAGUACUGGUGUGAGUCUGGAGGUGGGCGCACCACAGAAGAUGUUGAUAUAGAUCAUGACUCUGUGACUUUGAAUUCAUGUGAAAAUGAGAAUAAUGCCAAGAUGAAAGUACUAGGCAGAAAGAAAAUGGUAAUUGAUGAUGAAGAUUGUAAUCAUACAGUCAUCCAACCAAUCAGACACAAGUUUGGUAUCAUGGCUCAUAAAGACAUUGUCGAGACCUUAUUAGGAUUAGCUUUGAAAGAAACAUUUACGCCAGGGACUGUUUUUAAAUUAAUCGAUGUACAUUUAUCAAGUUACAGCAAGUUCAGUGAUGCUAUUCAGCUUAUUGACAUUUUUAAUUCAGUCUUUUCUUGUAACAGUUUGUAUCAAGUCGCCUUAUUUAGACUUGCCUUACCAAAAGUCCAGAGGCCAGGAGUAAACUUGACAGAAUCAGUUAAAGACACAAGGUCUUGUAAGAAAACAAAGAAACGUAUCCUACAAUCCUGGUUUGACAGUGACAGUUCCAGUGACUCCCCAGACAGCAAUAUAAACAACCCUAUUGAAGUAGCUCACCCUGUCCAGAACACAGAUCUAUCCCAUCAGUUUAAUACUCCAGAGGACAUGUCUGCUGAGACCAGCAGAGCUAAAGACUCCAAGUCUAAGGUUACAAUUUCUAUUCUGUCAGAAAUUUCUAGAUUUUAUGACAGCAUGUCCUAUGUUGACUGUCUAGAACAUUUUGAAAGACUUGAUGUCCAGGCAACUAGCCCAGGAAUGAAUGACCAGGAGCUUCUUCUAGCACACAACAAAUAUUCCAACCUGGGAGAUGUGUUUCAGCCAAUGGGCAGUGCUGUCAGUUUGUUGGCAACCAGGAACAUGUGUCGUAAGGUCAAUGAGCAUGCAAAUACAUGGUCAGAGAAAACUGUUCCAAAUCAUGACUCACUAGCUGAUAAACAGAAUAGUUGGCCUGAAGAGUUUCAUCUACCUGUAGGGGAUGUGCCAAAUCUUAGUGAUGAUACUCAAUUGAACAGCUCUAAAAAUGUUGUGACUAAAAACAUUCUAACCAAUCUGGGUAACAUUAUGUUUGCAUCUGACCAAAAGUUGAACACAGAUUAUCUCCCAUUCCUGAGAGAAAUUUGCAAAAGUGAGAAAGAAAGACAUCUUUCUAAGUCUCAGAGAAGUUUUCCAGAUGUGUGGAAUUAAGCAAAUUUGCAACGAGUGGUUAUAGAUGUGAGAGAAGAUAAAAGAGAUUUGUUCUGCACAUAGCUUGAUCAGCCCUCCACUAAAUUUAUCUGGUCCGGAAGCUUUUGUUACGUUUACUCUUUUAAAUAAUAAGGUCACCUCAUCUUCAGGUACAAAAUUGAUGUAGGGUUUUUGUUUUCCUUUGGUACAUAUAUAUAUACAGGGCUUUUUUUUUUGUGACGGUACGCACCAGCACGGCGUACCGGCACUUUAAAAAAAAAAAUAUUACUUUUCGUAUAUAUUAGCAUAUAUUAUUGAUUUUUAGUAGUUAAAAGUUAGGCAAUCAACUACUGAGUACUGUCACCUAAUCAUAAGUACCAGCACCUAUUUUUUUUUACAAAAAAAGCAAUAUAUAUAUAUAUAUAUAUAUAUUAUGUAGUUCGAAAUCCGCUAUCUUUAAAAAGGUAAAAACUGGGUAAACACCUCCUGAUUUUUUUUAAAUUAAAUUACUGGUAGAUGGCUAUGAAAUGAAGUUUUUCCACAUCCAUUUAUAAACCGAAAUAUAGGUGUAUCAUGCAGGUGAUGUGUCAUUAUCAUUUUUAAAAAGUCUUAAGCCCUGACCUAUGUGGUUCUCCUGGUACGUGAAAAAUAAUGGACAAUUUCACACCUGUCAACUUUAACCUGGACUCAAAAUUAAUUUUCUGCUGUGAAAGGAAAACCCUUAUAUUGGAAAUGUAGAGAAAUGGACCAUUCACAGUACCGUUACAGUAGUUUAGCAGAAAAUUUCAAAAUAAAGUAGAUUUUAACUAAUUUCGACGAGCUGUUCCGCAAACAUGCCUUCUCCGCAAUAGUGACUCUACUAUACAUCCAUCACUAUCAGUGCACAUUUAAAUCCAUCUCAAUCUGCCCCCUAUUUAUAACCAUCUAUGAUUUGAAUAAUUUCUUUUUAAAAGCAAUUGAUUAAUCUACAUAUAAAAUUAAUUAUUUUUAAAUAAGGUUAAAUAAUUUUCUAAUUAUUCCAAUUCAAUACAAUUUAUGAUUUAAUGUAAUCUAUUAAGGUAGUUAAUUAAAAAAAAAUUCUUAGUUAUCUUUUAAAUAAGUUUGUACCACUAGUCACUUGUAAUAUUCAUAGACUUUAAAUUUGUUUGCAUUACAUAAUUAUCAUCUACUCUAGUUAGGUUAUUAUUAUUUCACUAUAAUUUUUUUUACUAUUAUUAUUAUUAUAUUUUAUUACUAUUAAUUUUAAGAUUUUUUUAUUAAAAUAUUAUAUAGCUAUCAUUGUUAAAUACAAAAAUAUAAGAAAUUGAAUUAAAGUUUUAAAGGCAAUACUAUGAUUUGUUUUUCACAUUUAGGUGAAACAUCAAGGACACUUUACACUCCAUUAAAAAUUGCUAGAUGCACCAGAGUUUCUAUUUAACUCUCAGAUUAAUGCUUUUAGUUGUCUUCUAAAUUAGUUGUCAAACCAUGAUAUCUCUACUGUUAGUAAACUCCGCUCAAUUUUUAAAUCAAACUAUACCUCAGUCUACACUGGGCAUAUUAAUGAGAUAGUUUCUCAUUACAAAGGGAUGUAUCAGGUUCAUAAGUGGGUAUUAAAAAAAUGUGCUUCACCACAAUACCUGGGCUGAAAGAAUCUUAGGUUUUUUAAUUUAUUAUCAUGAAAAGCACCAAAUGCUAAAAUGGCUAUUUUUAGAUGGUAACAACGCUUGCAUUAUCUUUGCACUAAAAAAAGAGAUGAGCAGGAGACACAUUUUCUUUUAGUUUAUCAAGAAAAAGAUGUGGGGAAAUUAUUAUGGAUUAAUUAAUUGAGAGUGGACAGAUGAGCAAGAAAUGAAAUGGCAAAUGAAAUAAAAGCUGCUUUGAAAGACAUUGGUGUGCAUAUUCUUUAACACAUGUUUUGAUCAUAGAAAAUAUAUUGUUUACAAAAGCUAAUAAUCUAAGAAUCUGUGAGAUUCACGAUAUCCCAUUGGAAAAAUUAUGAAAAUAAGGAUGAUGCUGAGAUUAUACUUGUUCUUUCAUUGUGAUAGUAUUUUACAUUUCCUUAAGUGUUUUUUAAUUUUAUUUGAUUGAUUUGCUGAUGUGUAAGUGAUAAUUGUAAGUAUGCUAUUUUAUUUCCAAAAAAAAAAAAAUUUUUUGUAAUAAAAAAAUCUAUUUUGAUGAAUAAAAUAAAAUAUCUAGACAUUUUUUCUUAUAUAAAAUCAUGCAUUAGGCAUUAAUAUUUAGAAUGCAUGAUACCAAUUAUGUUCUUCAUUAACGUGUAAUGCAGAUUUGAUAUAGAUGUAAAAAUUAUUUACUUCAUGCAUCAAAAAUUACUUAAAAUCAAAGUAUUACUUUUCAAUUUUUUAAAUAAUAAUCUCAGCAUAAUAAUUAAUUCAUACUUUAAAAGUAUAGGUACCAGGCACUUAACUAAAAUUAUUUUUUUCUCUUUUAAGAUUCAAAAUGAAUUUUUAACAACAUAAGUACUUUUUCAAUUACAAAUAGUGUUUUACUAUAUAUUCCUUAAGAGUACACUUUAAAUAAUAAUUAUUAAUCCUAUCAGUACAUUCAAAAUUAAUUCAUGUUACAUGCAAUAAAGAGAAACUCAAAACAAAAUGAAAAAAAAAUGAGGUUCAUUCUUGUUACAAAAUUAGCUCAAUUGGCAGCACAAUAAAAAAAAAUACUCUUGACCUAUUUCCCAGUUUGAUUCAACUUCCGGUAGUGAACAGAAAUAACAAGGAUCUCAAAAAUCAAGACUUUUCCCCUCUCAAAUAAAAAUUAAUAUCUCCCCUUCCACUUGUCAUACAAUGAUAAAUUUAGUAUGGUUGGAAAUAUUUUUUCAAGCCCUUUUCAACCAUAUAGGUUUUAUUAGUAUAUUAUUUCAGCAUUAUUUCAACACAAUAGGACUAAAUCUGGAUCAGUCGACUGUUGACAGUCUGUCCUCAGAGUGAUCCAUAGACCAAGGAUAACCUGAGAAAGUACCAUUCCAAGUGUGGUACAGGACAACAGUCAGGAAGUAAACUCAUAAAUCACUUUAUAGAGAUUACAUUAUAUUAUUAACCUACAUGUUAGGAAUUUGAAAUGAAGGGAGCAGUUAUUCAAUAGGAUAUGAAACAUAUAUUUUGUUUAAAUCAAUCUACUUGUCAGAUAAUUAAUGAAUGAAUAUAUAAUUCUUUAAACCAAAAGAGAAUAUUAUAGUUAAAUGCAGUGAGUAUAAGUAAUUGCUAUGGGCCCUGUUAAGAAUUAUGACUGACUUUGGCUACAUUGAGAGCUAUGACUAAUUGACCUGGGUUAUAAUGUCAUGAAAUGGCAAACUAGCCACUUAGUUUCUUAUUUAUUUAGCUAAAGUAAUAAGCAUAUGGCAAUUAACUUAAGUGUCCCAUUAUUUAAAUGAAGUUCCAUUAUAUUCACUUGAUGCUGCAAUGUACUAAGGGUUAUUGAAAUUGAGGCAUCAUUGUAAUUAUUUUCUGUUCAGCAAGAAAUUAGUUUGUAAACCAAAGAAAAUGUCACCCUUCAUAAUACAGAUAAAUUAGUAAUGUAACUCAAAUUAUAUUUUACCUUAAGUCUAUUUUGUUCAUUUUUUUCCUUUGGUUGUUUAUAAAAGAUUGGCUACAUGGGAAAGUGAUUGCAGGAAUGGACUCAAUAGUUUUGUAAAUUUGGUUACAUGUGUUUCUACUAAGUGUAAAUAGUGUGAUAUAUAUUUAUUGCAUCUAUUAAUGGGUGAUGUAGAUUUUAUGAAUGGAGUCCAUUAUUUCAUUGAUUUGUAAAUAUUUAUCAAAGGAUUUUUCACAUACACAUUUUGAGUUUAUUGUACUAAGGAAUUUCUAGUGAAGAGUAAUUCAGCAUGUGAUGAAAUAAUGAAUAAUCUGAACAAAAAAUUAGGAUAUCCCUUCAAUAGAGAAAGCUAAAUCCACCUAGAAUCAAUAUAUAUAUAUAUAUAUAUAUAUAUAUAUAUAUAUAUAUAUAUAUAUAUAUAUAUGGCUCCUUCUGUCUCAGAAGACAAUGGAUGGAUCCAGAUGAGUCACUGGUUUUGGUUUCUACUUGAAACAGGGCAGAAUCUGGAGGGACUGUUUUAGGGCUAGCUGAUAGGGCAGCUUAUGCAACUUUGUUUCUUUUGCUCUUUGUGAGGUUCGUACCAGCACACACGCCAAUAUUAUUGUUCUAGACUAAUUGUAUUGUUAGUUAUAUAUUCUCUCUCACAAAUUUUGUCUAGGAACUAUAUGUAAGAAACUAGGAAUAGGUGAAACAAAACUUGUUUGUUAUAUCAAGUGUGUGUCCAAAAUAAUUUUUUUGUUUUACCAAUUAAAUGACAAACAAAUGUUUUUUUUUCUUUCUAAGUCAUUGUAGAGUGAGGUGUUUUUUUCCCAACUUUGUGGACAUAUUGGAUCUUUGUAUGUAUGAAAUAUAUUACUAAUACAUUUUAUUAUUGUAAUAAGA
Molecule: RNA transcript, 9549 nt
Organism: Biomphalaria glabrata
Lineage: Eukaryota; Metazoa; Mollusca; Gastropoda; Planorbidae
Gene name: ATPase family AAA domain-containing protein 5-like
Exons: 17
Source: RefSeq, a predicted model, not a curated record